RNAcentral lists this ribosomal RNA (253 nucleotides) under uncultured bacterium. Its description in RNAcentral is "partial 16S ribosomal RNA". It matches the Rfam family "Bacterial small subunit ribosomal RNA", at positions 524 to 776 of the family's 1533-position model. The record is from RNAcentral.
UACGGAGGGCGCAAGCGUUGCUCGGAAUUACUGGGCGUAAAGCGCGUGCAGGCGGUCGAGUAAGUCGGUUGUGUAAUCCCCAGGCUCAACCUGGGAACUGCAUCCGAAACUGCCCGGCUAGAGUCUCGGAGAGGGAGGCGGAACUCCCAGUGUAGGGGUGAGAUCCGUAGAUAUUGGGAAGAACACCGGCGGCGAAAGCGGCCUCCUGGACGAUGACUGACGCUGAGACGCGAAAGCGUGGGGAGCAAACAGG